Molecule: ribosomal RNA, 468 nt
Filed under: uncultured bacterium
Lineage: Bacteria
Description: bacterial SSU rRNA
Rfam family: Bacterial small subunit ribosomal RNA
Source: RNAcentral
CUGACGAAUGCUUACACAUGCAAGUCGACUCGAGUCUUCUGACUUGGGUGGCGCACGGGUGAGUAACGCGUAAAGAACUUGCCUCUCAUACUGGGACAGCAUCUGGAAACGGAUGCUAAUACCGGAUAUUAUGGUUUCUUCGCAUGGAGGAAUCAUGAAAGCUAGAGUGACGCUAAGAGAGAGCUUUGCGUCCACAUAUAGCUGGUUGGUGAGGUAACGGCCCACCAAGGCAAUGAUGGGUAGCCAGCCUGAGAGGGUGAACGGCCACGAGGGGACUGAGACACGGCCCUUACUCCUACGGGAGGCAGCAGUGGGGAAUAUUGGACAAUGGACCACAAGUCUGAUCCAGCAAUUCUGUGUGCACGAUGACGUUUUUCGGAAUGUGAAAGUGCUUUCAGUCGGGAAGAAGUCAGUGACGGUACCGACGGAAUAAGCGACGGCUAAAUACUUGCCAGCAGCCGCGGUAAU